ACACCUGGAUGUGCUCACUCAACCAAGAAUAUAGAGAAAGAGCUUCUGCCCUGAGACUCAGAAAAAUAUUCUCCUGUGCUUUGGUUCAGUAUAGAUUUCUAAACCCUGAUCAUUGCUUAAGAGAUAUUCACUGAGGACAGAGUCUUGCUCUAUUGCCCAGGCUGCAACUGGUGUGAUCUCGGCUCACUACAACCUCUGCCUCCUGGGUUCAAGCGAUUCUCCUGCCUCAAGCUCCCAAGUAGCUGGGAUUACAAGCAUGCACCACCAUGCCUGGCUAAUUUUUGUAUUUUUAGUGGAGACGGGGUUUCGCCACAUUGGCCAGGGUGGUCUUGAACUCCUGACCUCAAGUGAUCCACCUGCCUUGGCCUCCCAAAGUGCUGGGAUUAUAAGCAUGAGCCACUGCACCCAGCCUUAUACUGAACUUUCAAUGGGUUCAAUUCCACUAGGAGCAUAAAGGCCACUGCAUAUGAGUUGUGGAAAGAAGAGAUUAGAAGAAGGAAGAACUUGAGAUGAGUUCCUCCCUUCAACAUUCUGUCUCCUCCUACCUAGCAUCUUCUUUCUUUUAGUCUUUCUAGAAUGUCCAUCUGUUUUUGGCCAUUGCGGAGAGAGAAGCUGAGCUUUAAAGGAGUAGGAGCUUCAAAGGCGUAGGAGCUUCAAAAUUCUUGUUUCUUCAUGUUUGAUCACCCUUCUAAACCUGUCUUCUGUUCCUUCUGCUAUUCUUUUUUCUUAGAGCAUAGGAAAGGGGAGCUUUUAAAUUAAUACUUAAAGCAUGGAAAAAAAGAACUUGAGAAGAAAGUAAAACAAGGGAGAUGAGGCUAGUAAAGUAAGGAAAAUGAAGAGGAAGAGGAGGAAGGGUUAGCUUCUAAAUUCCAAGUCAAAUUGAUAUGGAACAGGCAAGCCGCUUGUCUUACUUAAACUUCAGAAAAGGAUCUGCUGAAACUUGAUAGAAAUGGAAAGGGAAAUCCUUGGGGUGGGGAACCUCCAAACAUUAGUAAUGAUAUUGAACAACUCAAAGUAUUGAGGAAAUCUGCAGGCUACAUGCCUGAAGAUUACCCAUGCAGAUAGACCAAAAGGAUUAGAAUUAUCUGUUGAUAUUAGUAAUAUUUAUUGACAUCUAGCUAGUAUUGGUAAUUUUAAGUUUUAGAUUAAUUUCUUUGGUAAUAGCUAUGAUAUAUUUUAUAGACAAGAAUUAUAUCUAUAGGCUUGCUAUCAUAGGCUCUUUUAAUCAGCAUUAAUUUAGUCUACUGAUUUUUAGCACAUUUGAAUCAUUCACUUAUGCUAGGUAACUCAUUGCAAAAUAAAAAGAUGAUUCCUGUAUGUAUGGCAGCUAUACAUUAAGGAGGAGUCUACCAGAAUAUGAAAAAGUCAGCUGACCUAAAUAUUGCUGAGACAAAGGAAAACCCACUCCCUUGGAGGAGCAUGACCUUUUCCUGUAAUUCUUCCCACUGCUGUUGUUGAGCUCCUUGGAUCCUGGCUCCUGGACACCAUCAUCAAGAAGACUUUAUGGAUGGGCUGUCCACCCACUGAGAGAAGAGGAGCAUCAGCUACAGUUUCUCUCUAGAUUGCCUUCUUCAUUUUGAGUAAUGACUGUCAGCAGGGUCAGAUUAAACACAAAACAACUGGACAAUUGCUUGGAGGACUAAACUAUAAGGGCACUAACAUGUCAAUAGUAGGCUAACACAUCCAUGGAAAAUAUAUUUACCAGCUCUUCUCUCAGGGAGGAUUCUGUGUGGGGUUGGAAGUAAUGAUUUGUUAAAUUCCUUAGGGGUAGAAAGUAGGGCAUAAUCAGAAUAUAGAGGAAUAUGCUGUUUGACUUCAGGGUUUCUGUUUUUCUUACUAGGAUAUAUAAAACAGGGACUCUAGCUAGAUUGUUUAUGACCACAGAGGGUAGGCUGAGUGCUCCCAUGAUCUUCCUGCUUGGUUCUUGCCCAUACAGAGGUCAGCCUUUCCUCUAAUAAAGAUUGAACAAGUAGUGGUCUGAGGGAGACACCAAUUCAUUACCCUACAUGUCUCUUCUCUGCACUCCAGGGCUUUGAUAAUAAAGACACUGGCAGACUAUCUAUCUUCCAUUUCUAUAAUGUGAGCCCUUAGGGAGUCUUCGUUCACUUGGGGGUGAGGGUCAUUGCUCACAGAGUAGUUCAAGUCAAAUGGAACUUGAACUCUUUGCCUAUGGGCCUGGUGGUCAGACUCUGUGUUGAGUUCAUUAGAUUAUUGGAGACACAAGGUAGAGCUGGAUGCUUCAAAAAUAUUUGGCUAAAGGAUGACAUUGCUGGUUAUUUGUAGAUAAAGCCAUGAUGGAACCUGCUUGGAAUCAUGAAAUAUGGAACUGGUGGUCAUGUUUAAAAAUACAACUAAUAGUUAAGUACCUACUGGACACUGUAGAGACUUAGGGGCUAGACAGACAUGGUUCCUGCCCCCUUGGAGCUUACACUGUAGCUUCCCCUUAGGUAUGAAGAACAGUGGCUACAACUAACAAAUGGCCACAAAGAUAUAAUUGAGCCAGUGUUCCAAUUAUUAGGGUAAUUCCUAUUUCCUUAAUCAUUCCUAUUGACCAUGUUCUAUAAGCCUGCAUUCUAUAAAUGGCGUAUGACCAUGGGCUGUUUCCCCCCAGCAAGUUGUACAAAGUUCUGUGGUACCAGGGAAAGGGCUUAAGGUUAGCAGGGCCUCUGCGGAAGGACAUAUGAAGUGACUUGGGUUAGGAAACAGGAAGGGAUAGGAUUCAAGAACAGCUAUUGCUUCUGUUCUAUAUAGGAAACUGCAGCGUGAAAAAUGCUGGGCUGGGAAUUUUGAGACCUGGGUUUUAGUUUGUGUUCUAAUACUAACAAGCUAUGUGACUGUGGGUAAGUCAUUUCACAUUCCAUUUGGAUGCCUCUUGAGUGACUCCAGGCCUCUCCAGCUCUAAAACAUUAAGAUCAGGCCCUACGCUACAGCUGGCCAGUGUGUAAUUCUUCUGUUUCUAUGCUGUUAGGUCAAAUAGAUCUUCAAUAGUUACUUGAUUGUUAUUACUUUUUUCUGAAGUGGGUGUUUUAUCAAUGUUUUAGGAUACAGUGAGUCUGCUUCUCCCCUUUGGAGUUAGGAAGGUUGUAGGAAUAUACACUGUAGAGCAUAUGGGAGCUUUAUCCCCUCCUUUUUUCCCCGCUACCUUUCUCCCUCUCCUUCCCUUCAUCACAUUUCUAUUGAGCAUAUGCCAUUGCCGUGUACCAGGUGUGUGCUAGGUUUGGAGAUACAAGGUAAACCUGAGACUUUCCCAGUCUCCAGGAGACAAAACCCUAAUUUCUUUCAUCUGCUGUCUUUCUCUUUGGAAAGAAUCAACGAUAUCCCAGGGGAAUGUGCCCAUGUCCCAGGGUAACCAACUACAGACAGAUGCCCCAUUCUACUCAAGCAACUUUUAGAGUGCCUUGAGAUACACAUCAGAUAAUUAUGCAGGGCCAGGCAUGGUGCUGCACACUUGUAAUCACAGCACUUUGGGAGGCCGAGGCAGCAGAUUGCUUGAGCCCAGGAAUUCAAGUGUAGCCUAGGGAACAUGGCAAAACCCCAGCUCUACAAAAAAAUACACAAAUUAGCUGCGUGUGGUGGCCUAUGACAGGAGGCUGAGAUGGGAGGAUUGCUUGAGCCUGUGAGGUCGAGGCUGCAGUGAGCCGAGAUCAUGCCAUUACUCCAGCCUGGGUGACAUAGGGAGACCCUGUCUUGAAAAAAAAAAAAAAAAGAUAAUUAUUCAGCCCUAGAGUCAUUGUGAAAAGAUCUAUCUUCAGAUAUAAGGAAGAAACAAUCUUUUAUUUCUUAGGAUAAAUCUGUAGAAGGACCUCCAGACAGUGAAGGCCACUGACUACUUUAUACUCUGUAAGCCAUCCCUCCCUGGUAGGAAGGACUAUUUCCAAUCUUACAGAGUACCUCUCAGCAAAUAGACGUUUUCACAUAUACUGUGAUUCAUACAUCCCUAUGGCUGGUGACCUCUUUAAAAAGGAAAGGAAAAAGCCUAAUCAAACAAAAAGAUGCUGCUAGUAAUUCUUACCCUAUUGUGAAUCCUAUAUAAGCAAAUUUGUAUCUUUGUUUUUUCCUACAUUAGCAGAUCUAUUUGAUGUAUAUCUCUGAGUGCAGAAAAUAUUUUAUGGAAAAAUCAAUAUAUGGAAUUUCAAAUUCAGAAUUGCUGAUACACACUAUUUGGUUUCACAAUUUUAUCCUAGGAAAUAGUAUUAGAGAUUUCAAUUUCUGGCUUAAAUGGUAGAAUUAAUUACUCUUAACUCUUAAUUUUACUUCUGAGUUGAGGUCAAGGAACAGGCAGACACCUGCAGUUAACGUCUAUACCUCUCCAUGGCCAAGAGUUUUAAUUUUCUCGUCUUCAAUUUUGUAGAUGUUCAUCAUUACUAAAUGGAUUGAUUAGUAUUUUAUCUCCUCUCCUUGUCCUUACUUUCCCUCUGGUAAAUAUGUUAUAAACAGUGUAAGGCUCCUAAGAUAGAGUAGCUGGUAGGACUUAGAAGAGAAACAAAGGGCACUGAUAACUCACAUAAAUGGAAAAUUGGCUCUGGAAUAACUGACAACAUAUUCAAGUAUUUUAGUGCAGUGUCACUCUCAUUAAGAAGAAGAGAAUCAGUAAAUCUAUGUGACUCUAAACAUUCUAAUGAAAAAAGGAAUAUUCUGCCAAUUAUCUCACAUUUCUAAAUAUCUGGAUAUUGGCCAUUGUAAAGACAAAACAUACAGAUGAUGGACUUGUCUUUCCACCUCUCAUUUGCAUGGUUUGGAGCAUUGUACCUCCAGCCAUAGACUCUAAGGCAAUUUAUAUUUGCUUCCUCUUCCCUCUUGAGAGAAAACGAAAAUCUUAUUUUUCCAAGCAAUUAAAACUCUUCUGCUUCAGCUAGGAUGAAAGAAUUAGGAGUUCUGUCUCCUUGUAUCUAAUUGCAUGUUUCAUCUUUCUUGUUUUAAUGAUUGACAGAAAACUAAUAAACUGAGACAUCUUUGAAUCCAGGUUGAAUGUACUCUCUUGGUGGCCCCAUUGCUAAUUUGUUUGACUAUUUUGCAGGAUUUCUUACUCUGUAAUGGAAAGGUUUAUUAAAUAUGAGGGGUGCAAAGCUUUCUGAAUACUAAUGAACUUAUUUGCCAAAAUUUAAAUGUUCUUCUUGUCAGUGAAUGUCUGUCUCUCUUAACAGGAUCCAAAUUGAAUAAUGAAGAAAAUUAGACUCUAUUGUACCCUCAGGAGAAAUCGUGGUGAAUCGUAAUAGAAUACAGAGGGGGAAAGGGGUCACAUUUUAGAAAAAAAGAGUAGAUAAUUUGGAUUAUUAAAAAAGGGAUUAACUCAGGAAAACUCUGUUCUUUUCAAAGAAACGUACUCAUAGUCAUUCAAUGAGCAGGAUUUCCCACUGCACAAGCAUCUAUACCUUUGGCCAGUGUAGAAAGAGAGUAAGGUCAUAAUCAUAUGGAGAUGCAUGCUAGGUUUCAGUAGUUACAAUUUACUAAUCUCAUUCCCAUAUAAGGCCUUUAUAUGCCUGUAAUGGAAUGGGAAAAUCAAUAAGCUUUGAAAAGGAACACUAUUCUUCAGAGAAGUUCAAUGGGAGAUAGUUGAGUUGGGGAAAUUGCCCCAGUUCUUCCUUUAAGCAUGAAAUGAGGCUGUCCCUAUGUAUGUUUACUUCCAUUGCCUUGGUGUUAUCACUGAUAAAGUCAAUGAUCAUGAUGCCUUUGCCUUGGCAGCACCUGGGGGGCACUGAAGGAACCAAGUAGCUGUACUCAUGGCCAGGAAGGCAGGCUGCCAGAACUUCAGCAGCCACACAAGUGGCCAAACAUGGUCAGGAACGAAAGUAGUGUGUGUAUGGAGUGAAAUGAAAUGAUGAGAGGAAAGUGAAGGAUGAUAUAAAGAUGGGGCUGUCCAAAGAUGGGAGUUCAUCCCUGUCCUGCACUUGAAAUAGGAAGGAAAGAACUGGAGAAGGAUUAGGUGAGGAAGGAUCCUGAAAUAGAGAAAAUAAAGGGAAGACUGCAUGCCUGCAGUGUUUGCUAAAAUUAAUUCGCCUGAGAUUUCAGGAGGAGCAAAGAAAGAUCAAGAGAAAGGGAAAACAGCCUCAAAGCCUGUGAAGGUUGAAAAACAAAAUAUAAACAAAAAAUUUUUAAAGCUAAGAUUAUGCUCUUCUAAGAAAAGAGGCUGGACACUAACAGAAAGCUUGAUGACAGCAGGAUUUGUAUUUAGCGGUUUAUUUAGAUCCCUAAGAAAAAAGGCUUAUGUGACAUAGAUUCAUAAGACACAAAUGUGUCCUUGGCUGACCAUACUAGGCUUCACUCCCAAAGGAGAAAAAGAAUGGUCGGCGCAUCUCAGAUUAACACCAACCAACUGUGCAAUAUUUCAUUUUAGAAAGCGUUUCCUUGUAUUAUCCAUGAUUAAAUAAAAAGAGACCUAGUGUAUUUGAUUGCUUCUGUGGCAAGGCUUGAGAAUUACAAACCUAGGUUUCCCUCUGGGAAUGAUCAUUGGAUUUUUAAAAUUAAGUAAGUGGAAGGAGAUUAAGAUUUAUUUCCAUCAUUUCAAAUCAUGAUCUGCACCUUUGGAAACAAAAAGGAAGUUGGAAAGUGGGAAGGUGAGGUAGGUGUGCAAGAAUGGGGAGAAAGAUGCUGCAAGCCAAAUAAGACUGUAUAAUUUCUGAGAAAAUUAAAUGAACAAUAGAGUUUGAAGGAUAAGUGGGUAAUGAGGAAUAUGAGAUAAUAAGAUAUUAAAAAAUAGCAAAUUACUUGGGAAAGUGAGGAUGAAUGAUGGUAGAUAGUUAAGGGAUUUGGGAUGGCAAGGAAGGGAAGAGAUGACUAGGGUGGGAAACAAAACAUGAUUAAUGGCUGUAAAAGGGCAAGUUUGGACUCUCGAUGGCAUAUCUUCCCAAACUUUGGAGAAUGUGCAGAACUUAGUAAUAAAGAAGGAAAAGAUUAAAAGAGUUCAUGGUUAACAUGAAAUUGUGAGGACAACAGAGGAAGCAAUAAAUGUCAUUAGUCCUCAGGAAUGAAAGCAUUUCUAGAGAAACGUACUAGUCUAUGUUCUUCAUUUAUGAGCAGAAUAGUUUUCAUCUACUUUUUAAUAAAAGGUUAAUGUAUAAAAUGAAUGCUAUUAAAGGAAAGAAAAGCUAAGCAUUAUCAGGAAAGUUGAAGAAAAGAUUGCACCUAGAACAACUGAAGUAAACCAGCAAACCUAUUUUACAGCCUUUUCUAUAAAAUUUUGAAAUUCAUCAUCUUAAUGAAAGAACUGGAAAUAGUUUUUCCAAAUAGAAAUGGGUAAUGAUAAGGGAGGAAGUUUUAACAGUUAGAAAUAUUAUAGAAUGCAUUCUUUUACAUUUUUUCCCCAUAAAAAUGAGAGGAAGCUAAAAAACUUAUGGGUAUAGCUUUAAAUACUUUGGAUAAGAAGAUUUAUAGCAAUGUAAGGUUAUUGUUAGUAGUAGAAAUAACAUUAAUUUUUUAAAAAUAUUAGUAUUUGGAGCAGGACUAAAUACCAGUGAUCAUCCUUUUUGGUUUCUUGUGUUUGUGUAGGAGAUUCCUUUCAGACAGACAGUACCAGACCUCCUUAGGAGGGAAGCUGAUAAAGUAAUUUAGGUGGAAAGGUUUAAUGAGAUAAUGAUGCUAAGGCCAGUUAACAUCUAAUAAGAACAUAAUCAUGAGGGAUGAUAUUGUUGCUUAUUAAUUAUAAUGAUGCAGAGGAAAGAGACAAGGUGGCACUCAUUUAGCAGAGAGUACUCAGGAGUAAGACCGUUAUCCCAAAGGGGAAGUGUUGCAGUCAGAGUUAGAAGUAGGUCAACAUUUAGCAGAGUUUGAAAUUUAUGGCCGUUGGGUUAUACUAGCAACCACAGAACUGAAGGCCAGGCAGGAGGUAACAGAUGCCUUUCUGAUGGUGGCCAGGGAUGGAGUGGAGACUGCUGUGGUUGCUGGGCCAUGCACGGAGGCAGACUCCAGGGUGAGUUUUGGGAGCUGUCUGCUUGCCUUAGAUUCCACAGUGGUCAUUCGUGGGCAGACAGGCAGGUGUCCAGAACUGGACUGGAUGUGCUUCCAGUUCUGUGACCUUCCCCUCCACUCCACUGGGUCGGGUGAGUCAGACCCAAGGAUAGCUAUUCAGUCAGUGUUGGCGCCCAGCUUUGUUGAGGGAGCCCAGAAGAUCCUUUGGUCCUGUUUUUAGAGGCGCAGACCUAACUGUUAUCAGUUGAAUUGCAUUUAUGAUUCCUUGGUAUUAGUCACUAACCACAUUCCGCUUCCUGAAUUCAUUGCGGGUCUGGUCACCUCCAUGUUUGCCUAGGAUGGCAGAAUUGUAGUAUAAAUUUAUUGCAGAUACACUAAUGUCCAUAUUAGUCAGGUGGGCAGGAAUAAAGAAUUCGAGGAAGAAACAGCCAUGUGAAAAAAACAUGGAGCUUUUGGAAAUCUUGUGACUCCUCAAGGGAGGCAUAGAAGCUUGAAACAGAGGACUAGCCUGGGGAAGUUAAUUUGGGGCUGGGUAAGGAAUAUAAAAACUCUACCCCUUAUUCAGCACCUUUUCCCAAUAUGGGUCUCUCUCUGAGUCCUGGAUCCUAGGCUAUUGCUGACUCCUUUCUUGGGUCUUUGGAUGCCACCUCUGCAAUGAUAGGGAGGGGUUUUCUAUACCUUCUUGUAUAGUUAAUUUUAUUAGCUGGAUGAGGAUCACUUCACAGGAUUUUUCUUGUCCUAUAUAAUGACCCCUGAAAUAGAAAGGAAAUAAUAUUCACAUCAUUAGCUUUUUAAAGCAAGUAUAUUUUAUCUUAUUAAAUGUGUGGUUUUAGAGAGGCAAGAAGUGACAAGAAGAUGCUAGACUAGAAGAUGGAAGAUUCAGCUCUAGUCCUGACUCAUGCCUAUCAGCUCUAUCACCUUGGACAAGUCUCAUGCCUUUCAGAGCCUCAGUUUCUACAUUCAUAAAAUGAGGCAUUAUUGAGGGUAAACUUUAUGAUUAAAGAGCCAUGUCCAGCUUUAAAAUUAUGUAUUUAUGCAUAUAUGUUUUUACAGAUCCUACAUCUAUUAAACUGUUAUGGGAGAAUUAAUUGAUAAACCCAUAUGAGAGCAGAUAUUUCCUUAAAUCUGUAGUUCAAAGUGGACAGUUAAGGUCAGAGUUACCAAGGAACCAAUGCCGUAACUAUUGAGUACUAACUAUGUGGCAGGUGCUUCACAGAUGAGGAAAUGAAGAUUUUCCAAAGUUUAAAUAAAUAGUUCAAGAUCAUAUAGUCAAUAAGGAGUAAAGCCAAUGCUCAAACCCAGGCAUCCCUGAAACUGAAACUCAUGACCUUCAUCACCACUGUGUGCAUCUCCCCCUUUUUUAGAACCCAAAUGCUUAUGUCCUAUCACUUAUGGCACCAGCCACCGGAAGUUUUCUUCAGUCAUUAUGGUUCUCAACUGGGAUGCGGGGAGGGAGCAAGACAAGGAGUAGUUUGAAAACUCUUCCCAGUUGAUUCUGAUACACACAUGUCUCUGCCUCUAAAUUCAGCUGCUCUCUUUAAGACAUAACUUGGCCAGAGUCAUUCUAACAUUAUUACCCGAGAGGAUCUUACUUGAGAAUUUUCUGCUAUGUGCAGGUUCAUGUUUCUGUUUUUUCCUGCAUGUCUUCAGAGCAGGUAGAGACAUUGAACACAAUUAUUCCUCUUCCAAAUGGGGAAGUGAAGCAAAGAGAAUUGAAUGAUUCAAUUUUACUCACCUACCCAGUGGUCACAGAACUGACAUCUUCCAUGCCUAAGACUAGCCGCCACAAGACAUUGUCUUUCUAGCCAAUUCAGUUAAUAAUGUAUUUUAUAUAGAAGGAAAAUUUCACUAUUGUUUUUUGUUUUGGAGUUUUCCCAGUAAAUGGAUCAUUUUAGUGACAUUAGUUUUUUUUUUUUUUUUUCCUUUGAGAUAGUCUUAGUUUGUCACCCAGGCUGGAGUGCAGUGGUGUGAUCUCCAUUCACUGCAAACUUCGCCUCCCUGGUUCAAGUGAUUCUGUUGCCUCAGCUUCCCAAAUAGCUGGGAUUACAGCUUCCUGCCACCACUCCUGGCUAAUUUUUGUAUUUUUAGUAGAGAUGGAGUUUCACCAUGUUGGCCAGACUCAAACUCCUGACCUCAAGUGAUUCGCCUACCUCGGCCUCCCAAAGUGCUGGGAUUACAGGUGUGAGCCAUCGUGCCUGGCCUCAUUUGGUCUUAAUUCACAAUUCUUUACAGUCUCAAAUGAUUUCUUUUGGUCUUUUUUUUUAAUUUUGUUUUUUUUCUUUCUUCUUGUUGAAUAAGUUCUUCAUUAUUGCUCAGUAUGGUUGCAUUGAGCUCAUUGUGAAAAAUUAGAAACAUUCAGAUACAGGAUUUAAUUAAAUAAAGACAAUAGAGUGCAGUAUUAUAUUGCCAUUUAAAAGAAUGAGGCAGCUUCAUCUAUGGAGUGGUAUCCACGAUACACAGUUAAAAUUUAAAAAGCAAAGCACAGAACAAUGUGUAUGGUGUGCUACCAUUUGUAUAAAUACAUACAUAUAUGUUUCUAUGCAUUGCCUAACUGAGGAAGGACAUUUAAGGAACUGGUAAUAGUGGUUGUCUCUGGGGAGAAACUGACUGACUCAGAAAUUGGAAGACUAUCUCUGUUGUCCCUUUUAUAUAGUGUAUCAUGUUCAUGUAUUGCCUAUUCAUUUUUUUAAUAAAGAAGAAAGUAGAGCUA
RNAcentral lists this long non-coding RNA (10615 nucleotides) under Homo sapiens (human). Its description in RNAcentral is "HSALNT0342163". The stretch from base 1 to 136 matches the Rfam family "Embryonic ventral forebrain-2 long ncRNA". The record is from RNAcentral. Lineage: Eukaryota; Metazoa; Chordata; Mammalia; Primates; Hominidae.